Molecule: ribosomal RNA, 255 nt
Filed under: uncultured bacterium
Lineage: Bacteria
Description: partial 16S ribosomal RNA
Rfam family: Bacterial small subunit ribosomal RNA
Source: RNAcentral
UACGGAGGGUGCGAGCGUUAAUCGGAAUUACUGGGCGUAAAGUGUGCGCAGGCGGCCGAGCAAGUCGAGUGUGAAAGCCCCGAGCUUAACUUGGGAACUGCGCUCGAAACUACUUGGCUAGAGUGUGGCAGAGGGAGGCGGAAUUCCGGGUGUAGCGGUGGAAUGCGUAGAGAUCCGGAAGAACACCGGUGGCGAAGGCGGCCUGCUGGGCAGUUUUGCUGACACUGAGGCGCGACAGCGUGGGGAGCAAACAGG